Gasterosteus aculeatus aculeatus (three-spined stickleback) is the source of this 1393-nucleotide long non-coding RNA. The record is from Ensembl. Lineage: Eukaryota; Metazoa; Chordata; Actinopteri; Perciformes; Gasterosteidae.
GCCUUACUUAGCUGCAUACUUAAAAUGACUGUCUAUGUGCAACACUAAAUUGCAUUCAUUUCACAUUAAUUUCUCACCUGAUCAUCUGCAUGUCCAGAGCUUGUCCCUGUGUGGACACUGCUUUUAACUUGCCUGUCUCUUUCCCCGUCUCUCUGUGACGCCUGCAUUGUGACCACAUGUCAUUUUAUCAGAAAAACAGCGACUCGUGCUGCCCACGUCGACCGAACGCGGGCCAAACCAUUAACAUGAUAGGGAAGGGUAUAUUUUACAUAUUUUCUGCUGUAUAUUGGGGGGGACAGAUUGGUACCUUUUCAAUAUUGGGGGGGACACGACCCCCCAAAAGAAUGCGUGGUUACGCCUAUGGACCAUCACAUGUCCAUGACAUCAGGACUCCUGUCCAUCAAACCACAUGUGCAGAGAACCCAUCCAAACCACGGCGAAGGAGGAGAAGCUGCUGUUGGAGGACGUCCUCCUCAUAGACACUCAGAUAUCUGCAGCAGCAGAAGCAAACAAGAGACAGCGAGACAGGAGACCACUGCAGGUGAGAGACAAACAGCCCCAAUACCCCGUCCCCCCCAGAGGACAAAUAUCCAGCAGGUAGAGACCGUUCAAUGGGUCUCCAGCAGACAACGUGGGGACAAUAGAGGACAUGGAUGUUAUAUAUGUGGACAGGAGGACCAUUGGUGCAGAGAGUGUCCCAGGAGUUAUGAAAGGGACAUGCGACCAAACGCUCCACCACGGCUGUUCUAUACAACGCAGCCCGGCAGAACCAGAGGACGGGUCCACCUCCCCCCCCCCCUCAUACAACCCCCAUAACAACUAACUGGUGACACACCGACGCCCACUGCUUCCCAACAGCCCAGAUAAGCAGCCUUAGUCUCCCCAGUUUACGACUCACAUUCCAGGUAGAAGAAGGGAGAAUAGAGAGUACAGACUAUUGAGAGUGUCAGAAAAUAGAUUUACAACCAGUACGAAACAUUGAUUUACUAAUAGAGGGAAACUGCCAGUAACAAUGAGACACGGUUGUGAAAGAUUUAAAUGAGGAAUGAAGGUGAUGAGAAUUGUACAUAGUGUCAGUUUUUUGUAUUAAUGUUUGUAGUUUUUUAGUCUCCUCCUAAACUCAGAGAUGGGCUGUAAAUUGUUGAGUGCUGCUAUUGAGUGUAAAGUGCACGAUACACUUGAUACAGUAUCUGGAUGAUGGAAGCAAACGUCUGAUCAAAGGAACAUUGAUAGCAGCAGUACAUGAAAUAGGGAAACUUGUUAGACGGUCAUCCUGUAAUGGUACAACAAGUAGUACACACUGGAAGCGAAUGGCGUAAACAAACAGAUGGUCGUCCUUGUUUCAGCCCACUCAGCUCUCUUUCCCUUUCUCACUCCGUUGAGACUUGGUCGA